Rosa chinensis is the source of this 428-nucleotide long non-coding RNA. RefSeq lists it as uncharacterized. The transcript has 2 exons. The record is from RefSeq and is a predicted model, not a curated record. NCBI's taxonomy places the organism in Eukaryota, Viridiplantae, Streptophyta, Magnoliopsida, Rosales, Rosaceae.
UUUCGCUUGAGCUAUAGUCCAAUAAUACUUGAACAAAAAUGCCGAUCGCGUUCCCCCGGAUCACCCUUCAGCACUAUACCGCUGUCUGCAUAACUGCCAUACUUGUUCUCAAUGCCAAGGAUCCAAUAAAGGAUUGCUGGAACAGAAAGUUUGGUGCUCGUUCUUCAUCACAUGCCAAUGCUAUUAGUUCUGCUGCCGUUGUUGCCGAUACUGGUGCUGCAGCCGCCACUACUGCUAACAGCUGAUUUGAUUGCUGCCAUUUAUGGGGAGCAGAAGUACUGUUUCUAUAGUUUACGUUCUUUCUAAGAACUAUUUAGGAUUUAGUAUCUAGGAAUUUUAAUCAUUUGUAGUUUUUGACUUGUGUUUUUCGAUAUGCUGCUUUUGUUGGGAUCUUAAUAGAGAAACAAUUGGUUCGUGUAAUUUUAUGA